Molecule: long non-coding RNA, 3678 nt
Filed under: Rattus norvegicus (Norway rat)
Lineage: Eukaryota; Metazoa; Chordata; Mammalia; Rodentia; Muridae
Description: long non-coding RNA NONRATT016243
Source: RNAcentral
CGAUGUGGAAAGCUUCAGUAUAAGCUAGGAAGCCUUUCUUCUUCCAGAUACACAGUGUCCUCUAGAAUUCCCUAUCACAAAGCAGGCUGGUCCACUAGCUUUUUGGCAUGGAACAAGGAAGACAGCAAACAUCUAAGGACAAUUAAAUAUGUUUCCCUGCUAUGUGGAUAUUUGUUAGCAAUGACUGAUGUGGAAACUACGUAUGCAGAUUUUAUUGCCUCAGGAAGAACAGGUAGAAGAAAUGCAAUACAUGAUAUCUUGGUUUCCUCUGCAAGUGGCAACAGCAAUGAAUUAGCCUUGAAAUUAGCAGGUCUUGAUAUUAACAAGACAGAAGGUGAAGAUGAUGGACAGAGAAGCUCCACAGAACAAAGUGGCGAAGCCCAGGGAGAAGCAGCCAAGUCUGAAAGCUAACACUCCAUUCUGACGGUCAUCAACACCUGACGAUGUGGCGAAUCUCCUGGCAUUGCUCGGAUGAAUUUGCGGCCAUGGGUGAAACGGAGGAGAAGAAAAUGGCCGUGAUGAAUGGCAAGAAGCCGUUGGUUGCCAUGUCACGAAUGGGGGCAGAGCCUGUGUCUGCACACAGCCUUUCCCCCACCUCUCUCAUUAGCAAUGGUUGAAAUCACCUGGCCUGUGCUUGGAUAUCAUUUUUGUAUGGGUCCUUUCACUUGACCGUUUAAUGAAAUGCUUGUAGAGAGUAGCACUGACCUAGCUGAUGAUUCCUGUAGCAUCUGGCCCCUCAUGAUGUCAGAGGAUUUAAUUGUGUCUAAUUGAAAAGGGUUGGUUGAACCCCAGAGUUUCCAUAUCUCUGGCUGGAGUAUUGGCUCACCAAAAGAACCAUCCAGAGAGCACAGUUAGCAUUAUGUCUCUGUGUGUGAGUGCUGUGUUAUUUACACCGUUUUGUAUCGUACAGUAUACCUGCUCAGCACUGCCCUUUGAUUGCUUAUGUAAAACAAAAUGAAGUACAUUGACUGUGAAUUUUUAUACCACUCAUUUUUUUAAAGGGCUGCCUUUUUAAUUUCCCAUAGUGUUGUGGUGUGCACGGGGCAGAACCUGCUUUUGUAAAACACGACUUUCCUCUUGAUGACUUCUGAGGGUUAUAUCCAACAGACUCACUGAGCCCCCCUUUGCUUUAUUAUACAGGCAUGUGGAAAUAUCCAUUAAUGUGAAUAUUGCCUGAGUUCAGUUUUAGUAUCUACACAGACCAGUGUUCUGUCUGUCAAUAUUGAUUUUAUUUCCAAGUAAGUUCUUUCAGCUAACAACUUCAUUUUUCAUGAUUAAGAAUUUUUAAGAAUUGACAAGGUAGACAAAGAAAGUCAGAUAAUGCAAAGGACUGGAAACAUUGUGUUCUGUGGAUCACUUUGGUCACAUUGAUGGGUACCACUGUUUAACUUGGGAGGACAGCUUGUGAAGGAAGUGUUCUCCUCAAAGCCUGUGGGCACCCGUCUAUAAAGGAAAGUCCUUGGGAUGUGUUCUCCCAUGUCCCCUCUCAGCCCUUUCAUAAUGUUAUUAUGCACUUUUUAAUGUUUGUAAAAUUUUACUAAUAAUUUGUGUGAAUUGCUUUGAGAUAUAAUAAUUAUCACCCAACCACACUUUUACUGACGCUGUUGAUGGACUAUGCUGUGUUUUGACAUCACGAUUCUUGUAUGGGGAAUGUCUGUGGCCUAUGUAACCCCCUCUGGUCAGUAUUAUGAAGCCAACUAUCUUUGGUAAUAAAUAAGGAUCCAGUUAGAUGCCCAGGGUUAAUCUGGGGCAUCUUAUGGGCAAAUAACAGAUGAAAGAAGGCCUUCGCAACAGAAGAGCCCCUAAAUGUCCUAGAGUGCAGGCAUAGCUGCAGUUCCAGGUUAAGUAGGGAGCAGUGAUUCAGCAGGCAGACUAUGGGUGUGGUAGGAACUCAACCUGAGUCUGUAGUCACAGACAAAGUAGACAGGAAGUCUGCCCAUAUCUUCCUAUAGUGCAUUCAUUACUGACUGGGAAUACAUGAAUCUCAUUAGUCUCCAACUGGAAGUUUUCCAGAAAAACAAGCAAUGUAUGUCUUUCUGGAUAUAAAACAGUAAAUACAUUCAAUAUGAGAGGCCUUGCUUUGAUCUAACUCAUUGGAGGCUAGCUAAAAUUGAAACAAAUCUACCUAUUGGUAGAAUCAAAGCUGUGAACCUGUGGCUUAUUUGAGACAACCUCUGAUAAUCUAUUAACAAUAUCCAACAGUUUCAAUGUCCUUGUUGAACUAUCCUGGUACCUUUCUCGUGAAUAGGAAGUUCAUUCUUAAAGUUGUAGAAUUCCAAAUUGGUUUUACGUGCAUUUUGUAAAGUGUUGAACCAGUGCUGAGUCCAUCCCUGUGUGAUAUACUAUUACUAAUGCAUGUGGUGCCAUGCUUGUCUUCAAAUAUAGAAGUAGUGCUAAAUGGGGAAGUCGUAUGGAGCUUCUGAUUUCCUUUGACCUCUUACUACUACUUUGUUUCCUGUAUUCAAUCCCAGAGGGAUUCUCUGGCUGGGAAGGGAAAAAAAAUCAACAUUCUAAAUUUUCCACAUUGCAUAAAUUUUGAUUGGCAACAUAUAUAGACUCUCCUGAUUUUCAUUUAAUACCUGUUAUUUACAAGUAAAUAAUAAUAAUAGGGAAGUGAUCUGUAAAGACAAAUGGAAGAGUAGGUAGCCCGAGCAAAGGGUGUUAUUUAACUAUCCCAACGAAGUCACUUCAGGACACUUUCUUUUCACCUUUUGAAACACACCAUUUAGACUUUAAUCUUGCUCCCCUUUCACACAUUAGGAAGUAAACACAAAUAACAACAAGUUUUUGCAAGAUUAAAAAACUAAUUUGAGCAUAUAUGUAUUUAUCGACAGAAUUGUGAAUCCACAGGUUAUAAAAUUAAAGCUAAUUAUACAGUAUGUUUCUCUGUAUGGAAAACUAGAAAUACACUCAUUCAGCUUGCAUGUUACAGAGAAGGAGAAUAAGUUUCAAAAAUGGACUGGCCUUUCUUGCAUUUGUACACAUGUCUUUGGGGCAAAGACAGAUGUGGCAAAGCCUACUUUUGUGGCUUUCCACUUAAAUAUUCAAUUAUACCUUAUUUUGAGAGUUUACUUCUGGUAUGUAAACUGUAAAUUUACAUGCUAUGUUUAUGCUACAUAUGUGAACAAAUAUUCUUGCUUUUCAUUUAGUUACCUAGAAACACAGAAUUUUUCAUUUUUAACACAUUAACAAUGAAUGAGAAGCUGUUGAAUUUGUUGAGUUUAACUUUUUUUUUAACUGAGAAUAUUUUAUGUCAGUACAUAUUCAUCCUGAGCUCACAGAAAUGCUUUCUGCCCUGUAACAGAAAUCACGAUCUUCAUUUUUCAGGGAAUACUAACAUAGCCCGUCGAUAGCCUACCACUGAGUCUUCCGCACACAUGACAGCAUGGAACCAAUGUAGAUUUUAAAAAUGACAUCUUUAUCCUUCUCAGAGGAAUAAGAAAAAAUGUAACUGUUGGGCAGCAAGCUUCUGAAUGAGACCUGCCGUAGUAAGGGGAAAAGUAUAGUCGUUAAAUUAAACCAAGAAAGGAUCCAUAAUGAUGUCUUAGAGGCCCGGAACUGUUCCUUCAUUGACUAGCGACAGCCUGGGAAGUCAUCUGUGAGCUUCUAUGACUUUUGUAUUUAGCAAUGUUGCAUGCUCCAAUAAUUGAUAUUAAAAGCAACACUUGUUUUCUGAAA